GCUAGCAAUGCACGCCUGUGGUUCAGCCGGCUAGUCUUGUGAGUUGUCGUGUGGCGGAUCCGAAUGGACCGCCCGCGGCGUCUUCGCUGGGCGAGCUGUGGUGCACUCCAUGGACGUGCGCGUCAGCGUCGGUUUCCGACGAGCGAUGAGGUGCGUGGGGGAAGGUAGCUCGGUUCUUCGGAGCGGAGUGUUACAGACCCUGGUGCUGGGCUCGUCGUGGGACCGAGGAGAGAGAUGAUCGCUGCGGCACCUGCCUCUCGGGGCUAGCCAGCCGUUGUCAGAUGUGCGUCAGGCGUUGAGGACUGCACGCAGUGCUCGAUGUUUUUUUGGCGUGGUCUGGUGGUGGUGUGGGCAUAGAGGUGCCUAGGACGCUGGCGUCCAAAUGGCCGUGCGCGACCCGUCUUGAAACACGGACCAAGGAGUCUAACAUGUGCGCGAGUCUUAGGGUGUGCAAGCCCUCGGGCGCAAUGAAAGUGAAGGUUCGGCAUUAGUCGAGCUGAGGUGAGAGCCGUUGCUGGCCUGACUGCUACGGCGGCGCAUCAUCGGCCGGUCCAUCCUGCUCUCAGGAGGAUCCGAGCAAGAGCGUAUUUGUUGGGACCCGAAAGAUGGUGAACUAUGCCUGAAUAGGGUGAAGCCAGAGGAAACUCUGGUGGAGGCUCGUAGGGAUUCUAACGUGCAAAUUGAUCUCAAAAUUUGGGUAUAGGGGCGAAAGACUAAUCGAACCAUCUAGUAGCUGGUUCCCUCCGAAGUUUCCCUCAGGAUAGCUGGAACUCGUCAACACAGUUUUAUCAGGUAAAGCGAAUGAUUAGAGGUCUUGGGGGUGAAACACCCUCAACCUAUUCUCAAACUUUAAAUCGGUAAGAAGCGCGACUUGCUUAAUUGAAGCCGCGCAGCCAAUGUGAGUUCCAAGUGGGCCAUUUUUGGUAAGCAGAACUGGCGAUGCGGGAUGAACCGAACGCUCGGUUAAGGUGCCCAAGUCGACGCUCAUCAGACCCCAGAAAAGGUGUUGGUUGAUAUAGACAGCAGGACGGUGGCCAUGGAAGUCGGAAUCCGCUAAGGAGUGUGUAACAACUCACCUGCCGAAUCAACUAGCCCUGAAAAUGGAUGGCGCUCAAGCGUCGCACCUAUACCGGGCCGUCGUCGUAAAUGCCAGGCGACGACGAGUAGGAGGGCGCGGUGGUCGUGAUGCAGCCCUUGGCGUGAGCCUGGGUCAAACGGCCUCUGGUGCAGAUCUUGGUGGUAGUAGCAAAUAUUCAAAUGAGAGCUUUGAAGACCGAAGUGGAGAAAGGUUCCAUGUGAACAGCAGUUGGACAUGGGUUAGUCGAUCCUAAGAGAUAGGGAAGUUCCGUAUCAACGUGCGCAAUCGGUCUUGUGCCGCCUUGCGCCAACCUAUCGAAAGGGAAUCGGGUUAAUAUUCCCGAACCGGAAUGCGGAUAUAUUCCCUGGCUCUCGGGCCAGGAGCGGCAACGCUAGCGAACCGCGAGACGUCGGCGGGGGCUCCGGGAAGAGUUGUCUUUUCUUUUUAACGCAGUCGCCAUCCCUGGAAUCGGUUUGCCCGGAGAUAGGGUUGGCUGGCUCGGUAAAGCAGCACACUUCAUGUGCUGUCCGGUGCGCUCUCGACGGCCCUUGAAAAUCGCGGGGGUGUACUGAUUUUCGCAUCCGGUCGUACUCAUAACCGCAUCAGGUCUCCGAGGU
Molecule: ribosomal RNA, 1695 nt
Filed under: Ute ampullacea
Lineage: Eukaryota; Metazoa; Porifera; Calcarea; Leucosolenida; Grantiidae
Description: eukaryotic LSU rRNA
Rfam family: Eukaryotic large subunit ribosomal RNA (bases 268-1695)
Source: RNAcentral